UACAACGUCUAACAAGUAAAAUAGAGAGAGAAAUAGACACAUAAUUUAUACUGGUUGCUUCCUCUUUUGAAUUCAGAUUCAUAUACCACCUUCAAUCACUUUCUUCAACUCCAAUAAUCAUCAUACACUUAUGCAUUUAGCCGUUGUCCUCUUCCUCUCCUUAAUUCAACUUGGAGCUAGGAAGAAAGUGAGCAACUGGUAUCAAGAGCACAAGGUUCAUGCUCCAACUAGCUAAGUCUUCAUACUUGAGUUGAAAUUUCUUUUUUCUAUACAUUUUGGUGUUGUAUACAUGAUCUUUACAUUUCCUGAAGUUCUUUCACCGGUUCAAUUGUUGUUUCAUCCCUUAUUCGGUUCAAAUGCAUGUAUUCUUAUUGGACCAUCUGAAACUCACAAAAAUAGGUGUUAUUCUUCAUGACCGUGUGUUGCUUUAAAUAUUUUUUAGUCUUAUUUCAAUUUUAAUCGGUUAUUCUUAGAACAGUUUAAUUUUCAUUUUAUAAUACAUUCCAUUCAUGUUCUAGGUCAUGUGUACCCUUUAAUUGUCAUAACUUGUUUGAUGAAAUUCUUACCUGUUGUUUGCAAUCUGUUUGAUAAAAUGCUUCAAAUAAAUUUUGGUAUUGCGUUGUGUGAUUUUUGUUCUGACUUUGAGUUCCAUAUCUUAUUAAUAGAUGAUUAAUAAUCUUCUUAGAGUUAUGAUUCUCUUUUUUCUUGAUUAGUUUGUUCAAUUUUCGUGAACUCUUUUAGGUUUCCUUCUCGCUAGAAGUUUGAGUGAAAAUUACACUGGACUGGAAAAAUUAUUCCGAGAAAUUGAUUUAAUAAUUUUGAGUAAAAUUUUAGGUUUGUGCACUUCAAUAUAUGGUAAAUAUUUUGUUAAAACGACGCAUCCAAAUUCAAUAUAGAAAAAAAUCAUAUAUGAUAAAACCCCGAAUGCAAGGGCUAGAAAAUUUUUGAACACGGUACGCGUUUGCUCUCGAAAAAAAAUUAUUUGGACAAAUCCAGUGGCGUCUCUCUUCAAAUUUUCUUAUGACUAGAUCAUAAAGGCCUUAAAAAAUUAUGGUGAAAAUUUCAAGGUCAAAAUCAAUAAAACAAAAAUUAUAUAAAUCUUUCAAGCAUUACUACAGAAGUACGCUAGUCUUAUUUUGGUUUGUAAUAUACUCUAGAACCAUUCUUAGGCUUUCUUUUGGUGUACUAACCUUUAUUCUGUACUUUAAUUUCAUUAUUGUCAAUUUUAUAAAAAAAAAUUGAGUUUUGUCACUACCUAAUUGCCUUUGAGUUUAGCUUUCCAAAAUUGAACUUUUGUUGACCUCUUGGAAGUGAUUACAUUUUUGUAGAAGAAAAUUUAGUUUAAGGGAGGAAAAAAGUCAAUUCUUGAUUGGAGUCCCAUGGCCAAAGCAUAAGCAAGAGGAGUUCACUAAAGAGAAGCUUCCAAGUGAAGUUGGAUUUGAAAGAGAGCUAAACACAAAGUGAAGAAGGAAUGCAAACACCAGGAGAUUGCAACUUUUCUUUUGUACUAAUUGUUUUGUAAAAGUUACUUGUUCUAUUAAAUAGUGG
Molecule: long non-coding RNA, 1548 nt
Filed under: Phaseolus vulgaris (common bean)
Lineage: Eukaryota; Viridiplantae; Streptophyta; Magnoliopsida; Fabales; Fabaceae
Description: long non-coding RNA (PVUL_LNC002981)
Source: RNAcentral